UUGGUGAACCAGCGGAGGGAUCAUUACUGAGUUUACGCUCUAUAACCCUUUGUGAACAUACCUACAACUGUUGCUUCGGCGGGUAGGGUCUCCGCGACCCUCCCGGCCUCCCGCCCCCGGGCGGGUCGGCGCCCGCCGGAGGAUAACCAAACUCUGAUUUAACGACGUUUCUUCUGAGUGGUACAAGCAAAUAAUCAAAACUUUUAACAACGGAUCUCUUGGUUCUGGCAUCGAUGAAGAACGCAGCGAAAUGCGAUAAGUAAUGUGAAUUGCAGAAUUCAGUGAAUCAUCGAAUCUUUGAACGCACAUUGCGCCCGCCAGCAUUCUGGCGGGCAUGCCUGUUCGAGCGUCAUUUCAACCCUCAAGCUCUGCUUGGUGUUGGGGCCCUACAGCUGAUGUAGGCCCUCAAAGGUAGUGGCGGACCCUCCCGGAGCCUCCUUUGCGUAGUAACUUUACGUCUCGCACUGGGAUCCGGAGGGACUCUUGCCGUAAAACCCCCCAAUUUUCCAAAGGUUGACCUCGGAUCU
RNAcentral lists this unclassified non-coding RNA (527 nucleotides) under Colletotrichum gloeosporioides. RNAcentral describes it as "contains 18S rRNA, ITS1, 5.8S rRNA, ITS2 and 28S RNA". The stretch from base 199 to 352 matches the Rfam family "5.8S ribosomal RNA". Lineage: Eukaryota; Fungi; Ascomycota; Sordariomycetes; Glomerellales; Glomerellaceae. The record is from RNAcentral.